Molecule: ribosomal RNA, 453 nt
Filed under: uncultured bacterium
Lineage: Bacteria
Description: partial 16S ribosomal RNA
Rfam family: Bacterial small subunit ribosomal RNA
Source: RNAcentral
AACGAACGCUGGCGGCAGGCUUAACACAUGCAAGUCGAACGGUUGUAGCAAUACAGCAGUGGCAGACGGGUGAGUAACACGUGGGAACCUUCCUAGGGGUACGGAACAACUCAGGGAAACUUGAGCUAAUACCGUAUACGUCCGUGAGGAGAAAGAUUUAUCGCCCUUAGACGGGCCCGCGUCGGAUUAGCUAGUUGGUGGGGUAACGGCCUACCAAGGCGACGAUCCGUAGCUGAUCUUAGAGGAUGAUCAGCCACACUGGGACUGAGACACGGCCCAGACUCCUACGGGAGGCAGCAGUGGGGAAUCUUGGACAAUGGGCGCAAGCCUGAUCCAGCCAUGCCGCGUGUGUGAAGGAGGCCUUCGGGUUGUAAAGCACUUUUGGCGGGAACGAAAGGGCCUGGGCUAAUACCCUGGGUUGAUGACGGUACCCGCAGAAUAAGCACCGGCUAA